Molecule: ribosomal RNA, 301 nt
Filed under: uncultured bacterium
Lineage: Bacteria
Description: partial 16S ribosomal RNA
Rfam family: Bacterial small subunit ribosomal RNA
Source: RNAcentral
CAGCAGCCGCGGUAAUACGGAGGGUGCAAGCGUUAAUCGGAAUUACUGGGCGUAAAGCGCACGCAGGCGGUCUGUCAAGUCGGAUGUGAAAUCCCCGGGCUCAACCUGGGAACUGCAUUCGAAACUGGCAGGCUAGAGUCUUGUAGAGGGGGGUAGAAUUCCAGGUGUAGCGGUGAAAUGCGUAGAGAUCUGGAGGAAUACCGGUGGCGAAGGCGGCCCCCUGGACAAAGACUGACGCUCAGGUGCGAAAGCGUGGGGAGCAAACAGGAUUAGAUACCCGGGUAGUCCCUGUCUCUUAUAA